AGCGAACGCUGGCGGCAGGCCUAACACAUGCAAGUCGAACGGAUCCUUCGGGAUUAGUGGCGGACGGGUGCGUAACACGUGGGAACGUGCCCUUUGGUUCGGAACAACUCAGGGAAACUUGAGCUGAUACCGGAUGUGCCCUUCGGGGGAAAGAUUUAUCGCCAUUGGAGCGGCCCGCGUCUGAUUAGCUAGUUGGUGAGGUAACGGCCCACCAAGGCGACGAUCAGUAGCUGGUCUGAGAGGAUGAUCAGCCACACUGGGACUGAGACACGGCCCAGACUCCUACGGGAGGCAGCAGUGGGGAAUCUUGCGCAAUGGGCGAAAGCCUGACGCAGCCAUGCCGCGUGAAUGAUGAAGGUCUUAGGAUUGUAAAAUUCUUUCAGCGGGGACGAUAAUGACGGUACCCGCAGAAGAAGCUCCGGCUAACUUCGUG
This 433-nucleotide ribosomal RNA is filed under the name uncultured bacterium. RNAcentral's name for it is "partial 16S ribosomal RNA". It matches the Rfam family "Bacterial small subunit ribosomal RNA", at positions 29 to 507 of the family's 1533-position model. The record is from RNAcentral.